AAUAGACCAAAAAUAAAGGAAUAAAUAGUGACUGAAUCAAUCACUGCUUUCUAGUUCUCUGACUUUGAGACCUUUUUCUCAUUCAAUUCGGCUAAUAACUUUUCCGCAGUACUAGGCUCUUUCACACGAAUCAAAUACAUUUCAAUUGAUUUUCCAUCAGUAGAAGCAGCAGGUACUUUUACGUCCUUUUUACCAGCCAGGCUGUAUUCAAAAUCCUGGCACAAACGAACGUUUAACAAAAGUUUUCCACUUCCCUCGACACGCGCAAGGAUGCGAGCAGAGCCAGUGUCACGAUCUACGUUAAUUUUUAAUGGACCAAUCCCGAUAUCAGAAUAAGAUUUACUAGUAGCAUCGAAACGGUAUAUCUUGGCCCUUGUCUCAAAUACGCUGUCUUCAUUUUCUUCGCCUUUUCCUUUACCAGAAACUAGAGAAUCAUUCGAUCGAGUUUCAUCAUUUCCGUUUUCCUUUUCUUCUUGCUCUGAUUUGUUUCCAUUAGAAGUUUCUUCACUUUUUUCAGCGCCAACAGAAGCUGGAGUAGAAGAAGUAGGAAAAGAAGAUUUCGGAGCAGCAAAAGAGAACGGAUUAGUAGUAGUUCCAAAUGAAAAGCCGACAGCCGCAGCGCUAGGAGGCUUCACAUCCGAAGAGGCCGGUAACUUUUUGCUCGAUAAUGGAUUGGUAAAUGUAAAUUUUUUCUCAGGUGUGUCAAAUUUGAUAGGCUUAUCAGGAGUCCAAGAAAAACUCAUAGUAUUUCCCUUGGCAGGUUCAACGGCGUUCUCGGAUUUUUCAUUGUUCGAGGGUUUAGAUUCUUCGCUCUUUGAAUCUUUAGUUUCAUGGGUUUGUUUGGUCUCUUUUGAAGCAUCCGCAGAAGCCAUAGUCGUUGAGAAAGAAAACACGGGAGUUAAUGGUUUUGAUUCCUCAUUUUCCUUCUUAGCGAAAGCGAAAGGAUUAGCGGCAGUAUUGAAUGAAAACUGGUUGGUUGUGGUAGCGGCAGUACCAGUGGCAGUUUGAUUAGAAGAUGUUUCUUUCUCCUUCGCUUCCGCUUCUGUUGCGGACUUCUCACCAAAUGACCCUUUAGGAGUAAAAGCCGAUGAAUUAAACUGGAAAGAGCUACCAAGCGCUGGAGCAGAAAAUCCGAACCUAGGAGCACCGGGGGGAACAAGGGGCUUCUCCUUAUCCUCUUUUUCUGAAGAAGCUGGUUUUUCUGUAACAAAAGAAGAAGAAUCUUGGCUUUUUUGUUGCUGAGGAUUUACCUCAGACACAACAGCAUUUGAAGUUGGUUGUUCUAAGAAAACGUUAGAAAGAAAUGAAGUACUAACUAUAAACGCAUUACCUUCUGCUGGCUUUUUUUCUAUACUUGAAAAAUGCUGCCUGUAUUCAUCAAACAGAGGGCUCAAAUUACCAAAGGGAUUAUUGUCAACACUUUUGAUAACAGCGUCAAUAAAUGAUUUAUUAAGACCGCGUUUUUUCAAGUGAAUAUCUGAAUCAUUAUUAGCUGUAACCGCGGGUUUUCCAAAUGUAAAUUGCGUAGUCGAUGCAGGUAAAGACACCGGUUUUGCUGCCAAAUUUGCAAAAAUUCCCGGAGAAGAAACACCGCUCGUUGGUCUUUUUCUAGAUUUUGGCUUUGCAAUUCUAAUACAUUAGUACCUAAAAAAUUGAAGAACUAUGUUUCAUCGUUACAUACUUUCUUGUGGCCAUCACGUCUGCGGAGGCCUCCUUAGGAACUUCAACUGGACCAUGACGGUCAUCAUCAGAAUCAUCUUGAUCCUUAGUUAACUGAUGAUCAGCACCGCGUUUUGACAUUUUGCUAGUUUGCGAAGGUCAACUGUUAGCCCCAAAACCACCCAAACUUAUGGCCUUCACUAUGUCUCCUUAUUUACUAAUGUUACAGUAAAAUAAAAUAAUACAAAAAAUGAAUUGUCGCUUGAUUUUAAUUAAGUAUUACAAAAAUAAAUGACUAUGGUACAAAAAUUAUCAUAAUAAAGAGCGUUCAGCUUUUUUCUUAGCGUUUCAGUUGGGCCAAAACAGAUUCGCAUCUGUCACAUAAUCCGUCCUCAUGAGCUGUAUGCAUCCAGCAACGUAGACAUUUUUGUUGAUUUGAAAAAAAUAAAGAGAUAUUUGCAACCCCAUAAUCCAACUGAACUUCAGGUUGUGUAACGGAAG
This is a non-coding RNA of Schizosaccharomyces pombe (fission yeast), 2160 nucleotides long. Lineage: Eukaryota; Fungi; Ascomycota; Schizosaccharomycetes; Schizosaccharomycetales; Schizosaccharomycetaceae. The record is from the annotation of a GenBank genome assembly.